UCUCCGUUGGUGAACCAGCGGAGGGAUCAUUACCGAGUGCAAACUCAUAACCCUUUGUGAACCUAUAUCAGUUGCUUCGGCGGCUCGCUCUCGGGCGAGCCCGCCGGUAAUAUCAGUAUCUCUGUUUGAACCCGACGAUACUUCUGAGUGUUCUUAGCGAACAGUUAAAACUUUUAACAACGGAUCUCUUGGCUCUA
This 197-nucleotide unclassified non-coding RNA is filed under the name plant metagenome. Its description in RNAcentral is "partial contains small subunit ribosomal RNA, internal transcribed spacer 1, and 5.8S ribosomal RNA". The record is from RNAcentral.